This 429-nucleotide ribosomal RNA is filed under the name uncultured bacterium. RNAcentral describes it as "partial 16S ribosomal RNA". It matches the Rfam family "Bacterial small subunit ribosomal RNA", at positions 355 to 776 of the family's 1533-position model. The record is from RNAcentral.
UGGGGAAUAUUGGGCAAUGGGCGAAAGCCUGACCCAGCGACGCCGCGUGUCGGAAGAAGUCCUUCGGGAUGUAAACGACUUUUGGUGGAGACGAAAACACAGCUCAGGGAAUGGGGCUGCUAUGACGGUAUCCAUGGAAUAAGCCCCGGCUAACUACGUGCCAGCAGCCGCGGUAAGACGUAGGGGGCGAGCGUUACCCGGAAUUACUGGGCGUAAAGGGAGCGUAGGCGGGAAAAGAAGUCCGGUGUGAAAGACCCUGGCUCAACCAGGGAGACGCGCCGGAAACCAAAUUUCUUGAGGGUAGCAGAGGAAGAGGGAAUUACCGGUGUAGGGGUGAAAUCCGUAGAGACCGGUAAGAAGGCCGGUGGCGAAGGCGCUCUUCUGGGCUAUCACUGACGCUGAGGCUCGAAAGCCAGGGGAGCAAACCGG